GUGAUUGAGGUUGAGAGCCUGAUCAGAAAAGUCUUCUUUUAAGAAAAUAACAGCCAUGCCAUGGACAGUGAAAGUGUAAGCUUCCACACACCACCUUGCUAGAGUGCCCCAGCCCCAAUGUGGAGGGAGUAUCCAUGGGGGCUGAAGACAUCAGCAGUUGGGAUGGACAUAUCUGCCUAUAAUAAGAAAAUUAUGCAACCUUCCUAUGGAGAAUACUGGACAGAAGAAAUUUUGUAUGAAAUGCAAUCCAGUGCUGUUUGAAGCUUGACACUAUCAUUUGAUGGAACAUCUUUCUUUCUGGAAAUGACCCUACAUUGGAGAGAGGUUGUUUUGCAUCCUCGGUGUUACAGUUUCCAGGUCAGAGCUACUGGAACAAUGCUCUUACAUGGGGCUGAUUAUUAUGCCAUCAUCCAUGCUGACAUAAUUGUGUACCUGGGCCAUCUGCGUCUGCCUUUUCCAGCACCUUCCUAUGGACAGCUCCAGGGCACUCGCUUGAGGUCAGAAUGGACUCCUACUGGGUUGUCCAUAUAUUUGUCUUGUAGGAGAGAACAAUCUGUCAAUGAAUUUCAAAGCUGUUAAACAAAACAUCCACUGCUUCUAAAUAUUAGAACACCAAAUAUCCAUGUGUACACACCAAACAAAUAUAUCUAUGUAAUUCAGUAAACAUGUCAGUUAGUACUGUUAUAAUUGCUAGAAUGGGAUUUUAAUCAGUUUAAUUAUUUAAA
Mauremys reevesii (Reeves's turtle) is the source of this 725-nucleotide long non-coding RNA. RefSeq lists it as uncharacterized. The transcript has 4 exons. Lineage: Eukaryota; Metazoa; Chordata; Testudines; Geoemydidae. The record is from RefSeq and is a predicted model, not a curated record.